RNAcentral lists this non-coding RNA (87 nucleotides) under Gemelliphila asaccharolytica. RNAcentral describes it as "Gemella asaccharolytica TPP sequence". It matches the Rfam family "TPP riboswitch aptamer (THI element)". Rfam says of the family: Vitamin B(1) in its active form thiamin pyrophosphate (TPP) is an essential coenzyme that is synthesised by coupling of pyrimidine and thiazole moieties in bacteria. The previously detected thiamin-regulatory element, thi box was extended, resulting in a new, highly conserved RNA secondary structure, the THI element, which is widely distributed in eubacteria and also occurs in some archaea. Lineage: Bacteria; Bacillati; Bacillota; Bacilli; Caryophanales; Gemellaceae. The record is from RNAcentral.
AAAUGAGAUUCGGGGUGCCACUGGCUGAGAUUAUACCCGUUGAACCUGAACAACAGAAGUUGCGUAGGAAAAUCUAAUUAAAGAACU